Molecule: long non-coding RNA, 418 nt
Organism: Oenanthe melanoleuca
Lineage: Eukaryota; Metazoa; Chordata; Aves; Passeriformes; Muscicapidae
Exons: 3
Source: RefSeq, a predicted model, not a curated record
CGGUGCCCUACUCCCGGGAGUUCAAGCACAAGUACGACUACUUCCGCAAGAAGCUGAAGAAACCUGCUGACAUACCCAACAGAUUUGAGAUGAAAUUACACAGCAAUAACAUUUUUGAGGAGUCCUACAGAAGAAUCAUGUCUGUGAAGAGACCUGAUGUAUUAAAAGCCAGGCUGUGGAUUGAAUUUGAGUGAGAAAAAGGACUUGACUAUGGAGGUGUGGCCCGAGAAUGUUUUUUUCUCUUGUCCAAGGAGAUGUUUAACCCUUACUAUGGUUUCUUUGAAUACUCAGCAACAAAAGAGACAACUACACACUUCAGAUGAAUCCUAAUUCAGGUCUCUGUAACGAAGAUCACCUGUUGUACUUCACCUUCAUUGGCCGGGGUGGCCGGCCUGGCUGUGUACCACGGGAAGCUGCU